Molecule: unclassified non-coding RNA, 313 nt
Filed under: plant metagenome
Description: partial contains 5.8S ribosomal RNA, internal transcribed spacer 2, and large subunit ribosomal RNA
Rfam family: 5.8S ribosomal RNA (bases 1-104)
Source: RNAcentral
GAAAUGCGAUACGUAAUGUGAAUUGCAGAAUUCAGUGAAUCAUCGAGUCUUUGAACGCACAUUGCGCCCCCUGGUAUUCUGGGGGCAUGCCUGUCCGAGCGUCAUUGCUGCCCUCAAGCACGGCUUGUGUGUUGGGCUUCCGUCCCUGGCAACGGGGACGGGCCCAAAAGGCAGUGGCGGCACCAUGUCUGGUCCUCGAGCGUAUGGGGCUUUGUCACCCGCUCCCGUAGGUCCAGCUGGCAGCUAGCCUCGCAACCAAUCUUUUUAACCAGGUUGACCUCGGAUCAGGUAGGGAUACCCGCUGAACUUAAGC